RNAcentral lists this ribosomal RNA (404 nucleotides) under Haemaphysalis juxtakochi. RNAcentral's name for it is "partial large subunit ribosomal RNA". Lineage: Eukaryota; Metazoa; Arthropoda; Arachnida; Ixodida; Ixodidae. The record is from RNAcentral.
UGACUAUACAAAGGUAUUGUAAUAAGACUUUAAUUGAGUGCUAAGAGAAUGGACUUUCAAAAAAAUACUUUCUUGAAUUUAAUAAUUGAAUUUAUUUUUAUUUGUGAAGAAACAAUAAUUAGUAUUAAGGACAAGAAGACCCUAAGAAUUUUUAAAUUUAAAUUUAAAAAUUUUUAAAUUUAAAUUUUUAAUUGGGGCGAUAUGAAAAUAUUUUUAACUUUUCCAAAAGAAAAAAUGACCCAUUAAUAGUGAUUAUUUGUAUUAAAUACUCUAGGGAUAACAGCGUAAUAAUUUUAGAUAGAUCGUAUAGAAAAAAUAGUUUGCGACCUCGAUGUUGGAUUAGGAUUUCUAUUUAAUGCAGAAGUUAAAAAUAGAAAGUUUGUUCAACUUUUAAAAUCCUACAU